CCUACGGGUGGCAGCAGUGGGGGAUAUUGCACAAUGGGGGGAACCCUGAUGCAGCGACGCCGCGUGGGUGAAGAAGCGCCUCGGCGCGUAAAGCCCUGUCAGCAGGGAAGAAAAUGACGGUAUCUGUAGCAGAAGCGCCGGCUAACUACGUGCCAGCAGCCGCGGUAAUACGUAGGGGGCAAGCGUUAGCCGGAUUUACUGGGUGUAAAGGGGGCGCAGACGGCGGUGCAAGCCAGGGGUGAAAGCCGGGGGCCCAACCCCGGGACUGCUCUUGGAACUGCGUGGCUGGAGUGCAGGAGGGGCAGGCGGAAUUCCUGGUGUAGCGGUGAAAUGCGUAGAUAUCAGGAGGAACACCGGUGGCGAAGGCGGCCUGCUGGACUGCAACUGACGUUGAGGCCCGAAAGCGUGGGGAGCAAACAGGAUUAGAUACCCUGGUAGUC
This 440-nucleotide ribosomal RNA is filed under the name uncultured bacterium. RNAcentral's name for it is "partial 16S ribosomal RNA". It matches the Rfam family "Bacterial small subunit ribosomal RNA", at positions 338 to 795 of the family's 1533-position model. The record is from RNAcentral.